UGAGAUGCUAGAAAUAGCUGAAAGACAUGAAUUAGUAGAUUAGGACAUGAAUACAUUGAGGAGUUCUUUUGCUAUUGUGAGUCUGUGUUGGCUACUGAUGGACUUUUUGUACUCCAGGUACAUAUCAAAAUAUGAUGCAGAGGAGAACUCUGAUAUGUCAUUUUCUGCGAGUUUGAUAAAGGCCGCGGAUGUGAUUGGGGAAGUCAAAAUGGUUUGAGCGGUUUGUUUGCACAGAAAACUAAUGCAGUAAUCCAUACUUUUGGAAGAUGAUCCAGGGAAUCAUCCAAGUUCACAAUGUAAGUGAUAAUGUAAGCGUUAUAUCUUCUCAAUCUGACUCCUGUAUAUAUGCUUGUUACAUUAAUUAUGAUGUCUAAGUUUCCGACUUCC
This is a long non-coding RNA of Spinacia oleracea (spinach), 387 nucleotides long. RefSeq lists it as uncharacterized. NCBI's taxonomy places the organism in Eukaryota, Viridiplantae, Streptophyta, Magnoliopsida, Caryophyllales, Amaranthaceae. The transcript is spliced from 2 exons. The record is from RefSeq and is a predicted model, not a curated record.